Molecule: ribosomal RNA, 586 nt
Filed under: uncultured eukaryote
Lineage: Eukaryota
Description: eukaryotic LSU rRNA
Rfam family: 5.8S ribosomal RNA (bases 181-334)
Source: RNAcentral
AACAAGGUCUCCGUUGGUGAACCAGCGGAGGGAUCAUUAUCGAGUUAUUCAACUCCCAAACCCUAUGUGAACUUACCACUUGUUGCUUCGGCGCGCGCUUCGGCGCCGCCGAGGACACUUAAACUCUUUGUUUUAUAAGCAUUUCUGAGUGGCCGAAAGGCAAAAAUACAAAUGAAUCAAAACUUUCAACAACGGAUCUCUUGGUUCUGGCAUCGAUGAAGAACGCAGCGAAAUGCGAUAAGUAAUGUGAAUUGCAGAAUUCAGUGAAUCAUCGAAUCUUUGAACGCACAUUGCGCCCGCCAGCAUUCUGGCGGGCAUGCCUGUUCGAGCGUCAUUUCAACCCUCGAGCCCGACUCUUUUGAGGACGGCUCGGCGUUGGGGGACGGCAGACUCCCCCCGGCAUCUCGCCGGGGACGCCGCCCCCGAAAUCUAGUGGCGGCCCUCCGAGGCGACCUCUGCGUAGUAACUUGUUCUCGCACCGGAAAGCUCAGAGCGGCCACGCCGUAAAACCCCAACUUUUUUCAGGUUGACCUCGAAUCAGGUAGGACUACCCGCUGAACUUAAGCAUAUCAAUAAGCGGAGGAAA